CCUACGGGAGGCAGCAGUGGGGAAUAUUGCACAAUGGGGGCAACCCUGAUGCAGCGACGCCGCGUGAGCGAGGAAGUAUUUCGGUAUGUAAAGCUCUAUCAGCAGGGAAGAAAAUGACGGUACCUGACUAAGAAGCUCCGGCUAACUACGUGCCAGCAGCCGCGGUAAUACGUAGGGGGCAAGCGUUAUCCGGAUUUACUGGGUGUAAAGGGAGCGUAGACGGCUGAGCAAGUCAGAAGUGAAAGCCCGGGGCUCAACCCCUGGACUGCUUUUGAAACUGAGUAUCUAGAGUGCAGGAGAGGUAAGCGGAAUUCCUAGUGUAGCGGUGAAAUGCGUAGAUAUUAGGAGGAACACCAGUGGCGAAGGCGGCUUACUGGACGGUAACUGACGUUGAGGCUCGAAAGCGUGGGGAGCAAACAGGAUUAGAUACCCCUGUAGUC
Molecule: ribosomal RNA, 440 nt
Filed under: uncultured bacterium
Lineage: Bacteria
Description: partial 16S ribosomal RNA
Rfam family: Bacterial small subunit ribosomal RNA
Source: RNAcentral